This 481-nucleotide ribosomal RNA is filed under the name uncultured bacterium. Its description in RNAcentral is "partial 16S ribosomal RNA". It matches the Rfam family "Bacterial small subunit ribosomal RNA", at positions 28 to 507 of the family's 1533-position model. The record is from RNAcentral.
GAUGAACGCUGGCGGCGUGCUUAACACAUGCAAGUCGAACGAAGCACUUUAUUUGAUUUCCUUCGGGACUGAUUAUUUUGUGACUGAGUGGCGGACGGGUGAGUAACGCGUGGGUAACCUGCCUUGUACAGGGGGAUAACAGUUGGAAACGGCUGCUAAUACCGCAUAAGCGCACAGCAUCGCAUGAUGCAGUGUGAAAAACUCCGGUGGUAUAAGAUGGACCCGCGUUGGAUUAGCUAGUUGGUGAGGUAACGGCCCACCAAGGCGACGAUCCAUAGCCGAACUGAGAGGGUGACCGGCCACAUUGGGACUGAGACACGGCCCAAACUCCUACGGGAGGCAGCAGUGGGGAAUAUUGCACAAUGGGCGAAAGCCUGAUGCAGCGACGCCGCGUGAGCGAAGAAGUAUUUCGGUAUGUAAAGCUCUAUCAGCAGGGAAGAUAAUGACGGUACCUGACGAAGAAGCACCGGCUAAAUACGUG